GACGAACGCUGGCGGCGUGCUUAACACAUGCAAGUCGAACGGAAGGGCCCUGCUUGCAGGGUGCUCGAGUGGCGAACGGGUGAGUAACACGUGUGUGAUCUGCCCCUUACUUUGGGAUAAGCCUGGGAAACUGGGUCUAAUACUGGAUAGGACCAUGCUGUAGGUGGUGUGGUGGAAAGAUUAGUUUCGGUAAGGGGUGAGCUCGCGGCCUAUCAGCUUGUUGUUGGGGUAAUGGCCUACCAAGGCGUCGACGGGUAGCCGGCCUGAGAGGGUGGACGGCAACAUUGGGACUGAGAUACGGACCAGACUCCUACGGGAGGCAGCAGUGGGGAAUAUUGCACAAUGGGAGCAAGCCUGAUGCAGCGAAGACGCGUGGGGGAUGACGGCCUUCGGGUUGUAAACUCCUUUCAGCCAUGACGAAGCCCUUGUGGUGACGGUAGUGGUAGAAGAAGCACCGGCUAACUACGUG
Molecule: ribosomal RNA, 469 nt
Filed under: uncultured bacterium
Lineage: Bacteria
Description: partial 16S ribosomal RNA
Rfam family: Bacterial small subunit ribosomal RNA
Source: RNAcentral